CUGAGACUGUGCGGUGUGACGGGGCCCGGCACCGCAGAAUCUGCCCACUCAGGGCCGGCGAACGGAAAUUCGCCGUGUCCUAACCCGGAGACACCCUUUCCUCCCCCAUGUCCACGCCAGGAGCGGCCGGGCCCCAUUCCGCGCUACAUUUCCCAGGAUGACCCUCCGCGUAAUAGUUGCUUGCCACAGAGCGCUGUCACCACCCGCCCCGGACUUAGGGCACCGUCAUGCCCAAGGCAUGCACGGUCUCUCCCCUUCCCUCCGCGUCUCUCUAACUUCCCACUGCCCUAGGCCACAGGAGACGAAGGGACCCGAACGUGGAGAGGUGUGGACAUCUGACUUUGCCCAUCCACAGUCCAAGAACUUCUUACUGUCGGCAACUUCAUUGACCUUUGGAUCUCAAGGGGAUCCUGAAGAACAGAAAGUUCUGCGAUUAUUGCUCAUAGUCCAAUCCCAUCCUCACGGGGACCUCCCUGCCUACUUCCCAGAAGAACCAGCUCUCUCUCCACUCACUAUCUCCGUACUUUUAAGCCUGUCUGAACUACGAGUCUAAGAGGCAUUUCUGAUUUAUUUAUUCAUUCAACAAAUAUUCAUUGACCAGCUAGUCAAGUGCCAGGCACUGAGCUGGGCCCCUGUUCUUGAGGAACAAGACAAGAAAUAUCUACCUUCGUGGAGUUUAUAUUUUAGUCAGGGAGAUAGACAACAAAUAUGCAAACAAAUAACAAAUCUGCAUGGUAAUAUGGGCUAUAAAUAAAUUUUUAAAAGGGAAACAAUAUUGAUAAGGGAAAGGCUCUUUGAAAAUUGAUCAUAUGUUAACCUUUGUUUUAGGAAAUGUGGUAAAAAUUGAGAGGAAACCUAUUUCUCUCUUCCAGGAUCCAAGUGCAAUAAAUGGAUUUCUUUUUUCUAAACCAGUAGGUGAAAAAAUUCAAAACUCAGAGACGUAGUCAAAAGAUGUUUCCACAGGUCAUGAAAGACAAAGACAGGAACACUUCCAGAUAAGGGAGACUAAAGAGAAAUGACAAAUUUAACAUGACAGAUUUAAUGUAUUAUUCUAAUGGAUCCUGGACCAGAAAACAAAAAACAACUUUAUUUCUUUUAUUAUAAAGGACAUUAGUGGAACAACUGACAAAAUUUGAAUAAGAUCUCUAGCUAAGAUAAUAGUAAGUGUUAAUUUCUUGAUUUUUUAUAAUUCUACUGCCUUAAUGGAAGAGGAUGUCCUUGUUAGAAAAUACUAAAGUGUUUAGGGAUAAAGUGGUAUGGCUGCAAUUUACUUUUCAAUGGUUUAUAAAAAAUGUGUGUCUGUAGAGAUAGACUGAUAAAGCAAACAUGGCCUUGAAGAAGGUACAUGAGAAUUCUUUGUAUUUUUGCAACUUUUCUAUAAAUAAAAUUACUUAAAAAUAAAGUUUUAUAUGAUAA
Pteropus alecto (black flying fox) is the source of this 1416-nucleotide long non-coding RNA. RefSeq lists it as uncharacterized. The record is from RefSeq and is a predicted model, not a curated record. NCBI's taxonomy places the organism in Eukaryota, Metazoa, Chordata, Mammalia, Chiroptera, Pteropodidae. The transcript is spliced from 2 exons.